GGGCUUUGUUGUCAACCUCCUCUCUACCCGGGAACUUUCGGAACUUUUGGUUUGCAUUUUUGGUUGUGGAAAAUGGCACCAUCGACUACAGUAUGGAAAACGGAUGCUUAAAGCCUGCAUCACAAAGGAAACUAGUGCUACAUGUAUGUAGGCCUAUCAAUGAAUCCAAUCACUUGACAAGCAAUCAGACAAGAAGGAAAUAAUCAAGUUUAUAAAAGAAAACAAACAACUUUUCGGUGCGUUGAAGUGCCUUUCAGAAACCGAAGCUUAUAAAAAAAAACACACGUGAAAUUAUUUGAUGAAAGAAAGACAU
Molecule: long non-coding RNA, 313 nt
Organism: Patella vulgata (common limpet)
Lineage: Eukaryota; Metazoa; Mollusca; Gastropoda; Patellidae
Exons: 3
Source: RefSeq, a predicted model, not a curated record